ACAUCGGCGUAACCGAUGCGUCUCUGGAAAUCUGUUUAUAUUCAAAAUAGUUUAUUUAGAAUUCAUUGUUUGAUAUAAAUGUGGGUCUUCUUACUUGUAUCGGUAGUUGCUUUGGUAAAGUCGCAGAAAACCAUUUCGACGGAUGAAGUACCCAUGAUGGGGUACGCCCCGCUGAUGGUGUACAAGACCGGGGAAUGGUGGGCGUCGCUGAUUGUCGGGUGGCGAUCUCAGCGCUUGUUCCAGAAUUUUGUUUUUGUAGGGCGGACAGUUGCGAUUUCUGUUCGAUAGCUUCUAUUUCCAUGCGACGAGUUUUCGCUUCCAGUCGAAUUACUUGAGCCUCUAACGUUUUACUACUUUUCAUCUGCCAAUUGAACAUUAAUCGGUUAACACAUGUUUAUUAAUUUCAUCUUAGAAAUUCGCAGUAGAUGGACUUACAUUUUCGCGUUCCAAAGCAUCUAGUCUUCGAUCUUUUUCAGCCAGAAGUUGCUGCAUUUCAAUCUGAAUUCAUCGUAGUUACAUUGUUGCUCGACAGUCGAUUCGGCGAUUACACACGCCAAAAUCAGCACACCCACAAGCAAUGAAUUGAAAAAGCGAGCCAUGGUUUCAAUUGGACAGGGCGUGAUACCAACGCGUUGCGGACUUCGUCUACAUUUGAAUCACAAAAGAGUCAUCGUAAUUUAUAGGUGGUCGGGGAUAAUGCAAAUAAGGGAUAACGUUUAUUGGCCUCGCUGAAAGCGCCAAGCGCAUAGUUGCGAGCCGCACAGGUGGGGUUUACCAACUGUGUGGAUGGUGGAGCCAUCUAUAAUAAAACUACACCUACGUGGUUGGUGUGCUAUCUACACAAAAAGUCUCACAUUGUAUGGAUGUUCACGCCAUCUACUGGAAAGCUGCCACACUAUGGAUAUGCCUGCAAAUGAAAAUUGUAUAAUUAUGUGAAGCCAUCUAUUGGAAAUUGUGUGAUGUCGAUUAUGGAGCUGUCUGUGUGAAUGUUGUAUAACUAAGAGUGCAUUUGUACGAAAAUGCCUUAGUAAGUGGAGCCAUCAAUGCGACGGUUGUACGACUGUUGAUAGUGAAGCCAUCUAUGCGACGGUUGUACGACUGUUGAUAGUGGAGCCAUCUAUGCGAAAAUUGUACAACUAUUGAUAGUGGAGUCAUCUAUGCGAAAAGUGUAAAACUAUUGAUAGUUGAGCCAUCUAUGCGAAAAUUGUACGACUGUUGAUAGUGGAGCCAUCUAUGCGAAAGUUGUACGGCUGUUGAUUGUGGAGCCAUCUAUUGAAAAUAUGUAUUACUACUGGCUACAUAUAUGUAAUUAUGAAAUAAUUCACAAUAAAAUCAU
Molecule: long non-coding RNA, 1336 nt
Organism: Daphnia carinata
Lineage: Eukaryota; Metazoa; Arthropoda; Branchiopoda; Diplostraca; Daphniidae
Exons: 4
Source: RefSeq, a predicted model, not a curated record